RNAcentral lists this ribosomal RNA (468 nucleotides) under uncultured bacterium. RNAcentral's name for it is "partial 16S ribosomal RNA". It matches the Rfam family "Bacterial small subunit ribosomal RNA", at positions 28 to 507 of the family's 1533-position model. The record is from RNAcentral.
GACGAACGCUGGCGGCGUGCUUAACACAUGCAAGUCGAACGAAAAGGCCCUGCUUUUGUGGGUUGCUCGAUUGCCGAAGGGGUGAGUAAAACGUGAGUAACCUGCCCUUAACUUUGGGAUAUCUUCAGGAAACUGGGGCUCUUACCGGAUAGGAUCUCCUGCUCCAUGUUGUGGGUUGGAGAGUUUCGGCGGUUGGGGAUGGACUCGCGGCUUAUCAGCUUGUUGGUGGGGUAGUGGCUUACCAAGGCUUUGACGGAUACCCGGCCUGAGAGGGUGACCGGCCACAUUGGGACUGAGAUACGGCGCAGACUCCUACGGGAGGCAGCAGUGGGGAAUAUUGCACAAUGGGCGGAAGCCUGAUGCAGCAACGCCGCGUGCGGGAUGACGGCCUUCGGGUUGUAAACCGCUUUCGCCUGUGACGAAGCGUGAGUGACGGUAAUGGGUAAAGAAGCACCGGCUAACUACGUG